GUAGGUGGCAAGCGUUGUCCGGAAUUAUUGGGCGUAAAGCGCGCGCAGGCGGUUCUUUAAGUCUGAUGUGAAAGCCCACGGCUCAACCGUGGAGGGUCAUUGGAAACUGGAGAACUUGAGUACAGAAGAGGAAAGCGGAAUUCCACGUGUAGCGGUGAAAUGCGUAGAGAUGUGGAGGAACACCAGUGGCGAAGGCGGCUUUCUGGUCUGUAACUGACGCUGAGGCGCGAAAGCGUGGGGAGCAAACAGGAUUAGAUACCCUGGUAGUCCACGCCGUAAACCGAUGAGUGCUAAGUGUUAGGGGGUUUUCCGCCCCCCUUAGUGCUGCAGCUAACGCAUUAAGCACUCCGCCUGGGAGUACGGCCGCAAGGCUG
This 374-nucleotide ribosomal RNA is filed under the name uncultured organism. RNAcentral describes it as "partial 16S ribosomal RNA". It matches the Rfam family "Bacterial small subunit ribosomal RNA", at positions 527 to 896 of the family's 1533-position model. The record is from RNAcentral.